UACGGGGGGUGCGAGCGUUGUCCGGAAUCGCUGGGCGUAAAGGGCGCGUAGGUGGUUUGAUAAGGGUGUGGUGAAAGCCCGGGGCUCAACCCCGGGUCUGCCGUGCCGACUGUCAAACUCGAGGGCUGUAGAGGCAGACGGAAUUCCGGGUGUAGCGGUGGAAUGCGUAGAGAUCCGGAGGAAGACCGGUGGCGAAGGCGGUCUGCUGGGCAGUUUCUAACACUGAGGCGCGACAGCGUGGGGAGCAAACAGG
This 253-nucleotide ribosomal RNA is filed under the name uncultured bacterium. RNAcentral's name for it is "partial 16S ribosomal RNA". It matches the Rfam family "Bacterial small subunit ribosomal RNA", at positions 524 to 776 of the family's 1533-position model. The record is from RNAcentral.